This 253-nucleotide ribosomal RNA is filed under the name uncultured bacterium. Its description in RNAcentral is "partial 16S ribosomal RNA". It matches the Rfam family "Bacterial small subunit ribosomal RNA", at positions 524 to 776 of the family's 1533-position model. The record is from RNAcentral.
UACGUAGGGUGCGAGCGUUGUCCGGAAUUAUUGGGCGUAAAGAGCUCGUAGGCGGUUUGUUGCGUCGGCCGUGAAAACCUGCAGCUUAACUCUGGGCCUGCAGUCGAUACGGGCAGACUUGAGUUCGGUAGGGGAGACUGGAAUUCCUGGUGUAGCGGUGAAAUGCGCAGAUAUCAGGAGGAACACCGAUGGCGAAGGCAGCUCGCUGGGACGAUACUGACGCUGAGGCGCGAAAGCGUGGGGAGCAAACAGG